RNAcentral lists this ribosomal RNA (468 nucleotides) under uncultured bacterium. Its description in RNAcentral is "partial 16S ribosomal RNA". It matches the Rfam family "Bacterial small subunit ribosomal RNA", at positions 28 to 507 of the family's 1533-position model. The record is from RNAcentral.
GACGAACGCUGGCGGCGUGCUUAACACAUGCAAGUCGAACGGAAAGGCCCUGCUUUUGUGGGGUGCUCGAGUGGCGAACGGGGGAGUAACACGUGAGUAACCUGCCCUUGACUUUGGGAUAACUUCAGGAAACUGGGGCUAAUACCGGAUAGGAGCUCCUGCUGCAUGGUGGGGGUUGGAAAGUUUCGGCGGUUGGGGAUGGACUCGCGGCUUAUCAGCUUGUUGGUGGGGUAGUGGCUUACCAAGGCUUUGACGGGUAGCCGGCCUGAGAGGGUGACCGGCCACAUUGGGACUGAGAUACGGCCCAGACUCCUACGGGAGGCAGCAGUGGGGAAUAUUGCACAAUGGGCGGAAGCCUGAUGCAGCAACGCCGUGUGCGGGAUGACGGCCUUCGGGUUGUAAACCGCUUUCGCCUGUGACGAAGCGUGAGUGACGGUAAUGGGUAAAGAAGCACCGGCUAACUACGUG